This 253-nucleotide ribosomal RNA is filed under the name uncultured bacterium. RNAcentral describes it as "partial 16S ribosomal RNA". It matches the Rfam family "Bacterial small subunit ribosomal RNA", at positions 524 to 776 of the family's 1533-position model. The record is from RNAcentral.
UACGUAGGGUGCAAGCGUUGUCCGGAUUUAUUGGGCGUAAAGGGCUCGUAGGCGGUCCGUCACGUCGGAAGUGAAAACCCGGGGCUCAACUCCGGGCCUGCUUUCGAUACGGGCGAACUUGAGUUCGGUAGGGGAGACUGGAACUCCUGGUGUAGCGGUGGAAUGCGCAGAUAUCAGGAAGAACACCAAUGGCGAAGGCAGGUCUCUGGGCCGAUACUGACGCUGAGGAGCGAAAGCGUGGGGAGCGAACAGG